GAGAAUCUUGAUGAUGCU
This 18-nucleotide non-coding RNA is filed under the name Arabidopsis thaliana (thale cress). Lineage: Eukaryota; Viridiplantae; Streptophyta; Magnoliopsida; Brassicales; Brassicaceae. The record is from RNAcentral.